This 433-nucleotide ribosomal RNA is filed under the name uncultured Bacillus sp. RNAcentral's name for it is "bacterial SSU rRNA". It matches the Rfam family "Bacterial small subunit ribosomal RNA", at positions 958 to 1392 of the family's 1533-position model. The record is from RNAcentral. Lineage: Bacteria; Bacillati; Bacillota; Bacilli; Caryophanales; Bacillaceae.
AACGCGAAGAACCUUACCAGGUCUUGACAUCCUCUGACAACCCUAGAGAUAGGGCUUUCCCUUCGGGGACAGAGUGACAGGUGGUGCAUGGUUGUCGUCAGCUCGUGUCGUGAGAUGUUGGGUUAAGUCCCGCAACGAGCGCAACCCUUGAUCUUAGUUGCCAGCAUUUAGUUGGGCACUCUAAGGUGACUGCCGGUGACAAACCGGAGGAAGGUGAGGAUGACGUCAAAUCAUCAUGCCCCUUAUGACCUGGGCUACACACGUGCUACAAUGGACAGAACAAAGGGCUGCGAGACCGCAAGGUUUAGCCAAUCCCACAAAUCUGUUCUCAGUUCGGAUCGCAGUCUGCAACUCGACUGCGUGAAGCUGGAAUCGCUAGUAAUCGCGGAUCAGCAUGCCGCGGUGAAUACGUUCCCGGGUCUUGUACACACCG